RNAcentral lists this long non-coding RNA (2850 nucleotides) under Xyrichtys novacula (pearly razorfish). Lineage: Eukaryota; Metazoa; Chordata; Actinopteri; Labriformes; Labridae. The record is from RNAcentral.
GGCACAAACACAGCUGGGAUAUAUCCAAAUGGCAGGUUGCUCCUCGUUACGGUGUUGCCUGGAGAGCGAUGCGAUUGAGCCAUUGAGCGAUGGGCAGGAAAAACUUGACUUUUUCUCCUGCCAUGGGGGGGGAAUGUGGAUUCUUUUAAGAAUGUGGAUUUUUUGGUCAUCUUUGGCGCCCCCUAGAACGUAAACCGUGGGGUGCAGCGUCAUGAUUUUUACAACUUUGAAUGGCCAUGGGGUGUAGAUUGGCCUGAGCAAAUUUGGUUUCAGUGGGACGAAAGCCUUAGGAGGAGUUAGCCACAUUCCAAUGUGUGCGAAUCGGCAAAAAAUGCAAAAUAGCCCUCUAACCGUACAUUUGACAGAUACGCACCCAUUGACUUUUUCGUAGAUCUUAUUGAGAUACACGUGAUUGUCAAAUUUUGUGUCAAUAUGACAAAGCGUACAGGUGUCACACUCAACAAUGUGAAUUUUCACCUUACGGGACAAGAAAAAAUUGACUUUUUUCUCCUGCCAUGGGGGGGCUCUUUUGAGGAGUAAAAAUUCCUUCACAAAUGUGUUGAUGGCUGGACAUUGCAUCAUCCUAGAAAACUUGGAGGCCAGUGAGGACAAAAAUAAAAAGUUAUAAGACUUUGAAAUAUGUGGAUUUUAGGGUUAUCUUUGGCGCCCCCUAGAACCUAAACCGUGGGGUGCAGCGUCAUGAUUUGAAUAACUUUUAAUGGCCAUGGGGUGUAGAUUGGCCUGAGCAAAUGUGGUGCCGGUGGAACGCCAGCCUUAGGAGGAGUUAGCGAAAUUCCAAUGUGUGCGGAUCAGCAAAAAAUGCGGAAUAACCCUUUAACCGUACAUUUGACAGAUACGCGCGCAUUGACUUUUUCGUAGAUCUUAUUGAGAUACAUGUGUGUGUCAAAUUUUGUGUCAAUAUGACAAAGCGUACAGGCGUGACACUCAACAAUGUGUAUUUUCACCUUAGGGGACAAGAAAAAAUGGACUUUUUUCUCCGGCCAUGGGGGGCGCUCUUUUGGGGAGUAAAAAUUCCUUCACAAAUGUGUUGAUGGCUGGACAUUGCAUCAUCCUAGAAAACUUGGAGGCCAGUGAGGGCAAAAAUAAAAAGUUAUAAGACUUUUAAAUAUGUGGAUUUUAGGGUUAUCUUUGGCGCCCCCUAGAACCUAAACCGUGGGGUGCAGCAUCAUGAUUUGAAUAACUUUUAAUGGCCAUGGCGUGUAGAUUGGCCUGAGCAAAUGUGGUGCCGGUGGAAAGAAAGCCUUCGGAGGAGUUAGCGAAAUUCCAAUGUGUGCGGAUCGGCAAAAAAUGCGGAAUAACCCUUUAACCGUACAUUUGACAGAUACGCCCGCACUGACUUUUUUGUAGAUCUUAUUGAGAUACAUAUGUGUGUCAAUUUUUGUGUCAUUUUGACAAAGCGUGAAGGCGUGACAGUCAAUAGUGUGAAUUUUCACCUUAGGGGGCGCUAUGGAGCCAUUUUGCAUUUUCUUGUUUGGGCGACUUCGGAAUAUCAAAUUUUUCACCAGGCCCGGUCAUCCUGCCAAAUUUCAUGAGUUUUCGCCAGUGGGAAGUGGGCCAUUUUCCAGUUCAAAGGGGAGGAAAAAGAAGAAAGAAAGAAACAACUAGGGCCCCGUUGGGGCACUGGCGGGCCCGAGCCGUGUCGCACCCCCCCCCCCAUACGCGCUGCCUCCUCGUCACAUUCAUGUCCUCUGGCCAUCGCCCUCUCUGGUAACGCCCAUCACUGCAAAGACCCUUUUCCUUCAUCGGCGUUUGCUGUUCUUCCUGCCAGUGCGUGUUGCUUUCACUUACACUUGCCACAGCCAGCCUCGUGAGUGCCUAGCCUAUUGGAUAUCACUGUCACCUACACAGGACAGUCAUACUUUGUUUUUUAAUUUCACAUUAAUUUCCAUAUUGUAUAAACGACUGGAAAAAACUUGAGCCCCUGCCCCUGUAUUAUCAUGUGCACGUCCCUGUUCUAGCUCCAAGGUGAAUCUUCACUGCUCAUGUUCUCCUCAGAAGCAGUCACCUCACUCCCCUCAGGUUACUGUACACAUGCACCAACUGCCUGCUUCAGGUUUGGAUGGAGCUUCAUGGUUGUCUUUUGGAGAAAUGAGCAGUCAAGUUGUGUUUGAAAUUUGAUUUUUUUCAGGGGCAAAAGGAAGCCUCUGCAUUCUUGUCAAAUAUGUAAAUAGCAUGUUUUUGCAGGUGCUAAAAAACAGACUCUGAGUGUGUGUGUGUGUGUGUGUGUGUGUGUGUGUGUGUGUGUGUGUGUGCGUGUGUGUGUGUGUAUCCUGCAGUACUCUGAGAAGAAUAAUAAGCAUAUUUCUGAGGUGAAUUUUGAAGAUUCAUCUGAGAGUUAGGUUUGAUUCGAUUCGAUUGACGCUCCCCAGCGUUCAAGUCACAUGACAUAUUUAACCGGAUGUAGCUGCAAGACGGAGCCUCGUUGACUCUCCGUUUCAACUUAUCUCAAAAGUGAGGACCUCAACCUAUAUACCAGUUUUUAAAUUGUGUUGAUAGGCCAAAUAAAACCAGAGUUAUGAUAAAUUAUGUCCGCGAUACUUUUUUUCUGCUUAUUUUGAUCACGUUCGGCGCUCGAUCGCGCUGUAUGAGACAGGAAAACAUAGCAUGCACACAUUAGCGACAGGUCUUACAGGCGGAAAAGGCUUGCCAAAAGAAAAAAAAAACACCACAACAUCUCUCCUAUUGGUGGAAAACUUCACCACAACAACCAAUCCAAAAUUAUAUGGUGACUGAUUGACAAGGGGCGGGUGCUUACGUUCUUCCUGCAACAUGAGAAGGGAGGGAGGGACUCUCAGCAGGGAUGCAGUCUGGGACACGUAGUUGCAAACC